This is a ribosomal RNA of Trypanosoma cruzi, 119 nucleotides long. NCBI's taxonomy places the organism in Eukaryota, Euglenozoa, Kinetoplastea, Trypanosomatida, Trypanosomatidae. The record is from RefSeq and is a predicted model, not a curated record.
AAAAGGUGUUGGUUGGUCUAGACAGCAGGACGGUGGCCAUGGAAGUCGGAAGCCGCUAAGGAGUGUGUAACAACUCACCUGCCGAAUCAACCAGCCCUGAAAAUGGAUGGCGCUCGAGC